RNAcentral lists this ribosomal RNA (468 nucleotides) under uncultured bacterium. RNAcentral describes it as "partial 16S ribosomal RNA". It matches the Rfam family "Bacterial small subunit ribosomal RNA", at positions 28 to 507 of the family's 1533-position model. The record is from RNAcentral.
GACGAACGCUGGCGGCGUGCUUAACACAUGCAAGUCGAACGGAAAGGCCCUGCUUUUGUGGGGUGCUCGAGUGGCGAACGGGUGAGUAACACGUGAGUAACCUGCCCUUGACUUUGGGAUAACUUCAGGAAACUGGGGCUAAUACCGUAUAGGAGCUCCUGCUGCAUGGUGGGGGUUGGAAAGUUUCGGCGGUUGGGGAUGGACUCGCGGCUUAUCAGCUUGUUGGUGGGGUAGUGGCUUACCAAGGCUUUGACGGGUAGCCGGCCUGAGAGGGUGGCCGGCGACAUUGGGACUGAGAUACGGCCCAGACUCCUACGGGAGGCAGCAGUGGGGAAUAUUGCACAAGGGGCGGAAGGCUGAUGCAGCAACGCCGCGUGCGGGAUGACGGCCUUCGGGUUGUAAACCGCUUUCGCCUGUGACGAAGCGUGAGUGACGGUAAUGGGUAAAGAAGCACCGGCUAACUACGUG